Molecule: long non-coding RNA, 1517 nt
Organism: Mesocricetus auratus (golden hamster)
Lineage: Eukaryota; Metazoa; Chordata; Mammalia; Rodentia; Cricetidae
Exons: 2
Source: RefSeq, a predicted model, not a curated record
GCGCCUGAAGGCAGAGCAAGGACGCUGCUCUAAGACACCUGGUUCGUCAGCAGAGCGGAGGCUGCAGAAACCUACCCAAACCCACCUGAGGCUGCUUUUGCCACCCGGGAACCCGGGCAGAAGCCUUCGGGGCGGUCGGAGGUGGUUUGGAAGUGGCAUCGCCUAUGGUCAAGACCGAGGGUUCUGCGGACAGAGAGGAGCCCUGGGUUCGCUUUCUGCCUCAUCCAGCUAGGUGACCUUGGGCAAGGUAUAUCAAAGCUUGUGAACUGUGCAUAGAAGCCCAGCCUUUAAGAGGACACAUAAAGGCCAGUCCUGUGUCUGUUGCAGAAGUCAGAGAGCAGAAAGGAGGCAGCGCUGGAGCCGGUCCCAGGCAGCUGCUGUUAGGACAAAAGCAAAACAAAAUUCUUUCGUCUGUUUCCCACAUCAGCACUGACGGCAUGACCUUUGAUCUAUUUGUAAAAUGAAGACAAUAACUUGUUUUUUAUGGGGCAAGGAUUUUAUGGUUAAAAUUCAUUAAUUACUCAUUGAAAAGUCUUUGGGAUCCUUGACAUGAAAGGCAUUUAUUUAAACAGAGCUUCCCAAAGGUACAUGUCCCCGCAGACAUAGAUGUGUACUGUUUUGCCAGAAUACAAGACCUAGGAGAGUGGAUCUAGCCUCCUACAACGUAAUACCACCAGUUGUAAGUCACCUGCAGACCAGGUGAGCUCAAGCAGUUGGCUGACUCCCUUUGCCUGCAGCCUGAAGUUUGCAUGAAGGGCCCCCCGUUUCUGGGCAGCCGUAUUUGAUGACGAUGAACAUCCUGGGAGGUCUGUUAUUUCAGGGCUUCAUCCCUGCAGGAGGAAAGCAGGUGUCUUCACUGAGCUCACUGUGAUAAGAACCCUCCAGAGUGAGCCGUCAGCCAUGAGCACUCCUGGCAUAGGUUCUUUCCAGAAAGGCCUGGGACGUGUGUCAGGAGAAGGUGGACGGGACUCAAAAAGCCCCUGUGGAAAUUGAGCCUUUCCUCACACAGACAUCUGGGAAAGGGACCCAAAGAGCACAGACACACUGCAGGGCCACCUCACGCAGGGCACACAUGGCCUUUGUCCCUUCUGUACCGGAGGGAGCAGCAGCAACGGAGUGUGUGUGCUGACUGAGGAGAGAGCCAUCCAGUCAGAUCUCACUGCUAGAACCCCUUCACUAACCCUGUCAGCCUCAGGGCCUCAGCUGUGGGUCAGGACAAGACACCAAUCUGUCAGGGUUACUGGGGACCUCAUGGCCAGUGUUUAUAAGCUCAAAACUCCGUUAAAACUGAGCACAUUUUACAUUUUACUUCCUUUAAUUAAAUUAAAAAUUUUUUUGUGGUACUGGGUUCUGACCCAGGACCUUGAGCUUGAUAGAUAAGCAUUGUACUGCUAAGUUCCACUGCCAACCCUCUUUUUACUUAAGUUUUAAAUACAGGGUCUCACUGCUGGCCUCCAACAUGCACAUGCAGAGGUGAGCACACACACACACACACACACACACACACACACACACAC